GACGUAGGAUGCGAGCGUUGUCCGGAUUUAUUGGGCGUAAAGAGUUCGUAGGCGGUUCGUUAAGUCUGAUGUUAAAGACUGGGGCUCAACCCCGGGAGUGCAUUGGAUACUGGCGGACUGGAGUGCGGUAGAGGUUAGUGGAAUUCCUGGUGUAGCGGUGAAAUGCGCAGAUAUCAGGAAGAACACCCGUGGCGAAAGCGGCUCUCUGGAACGGUACUGACGCUGAGACGCGAAAGCGUGGGGAGCGAACAGG
Molecule: ribosomal RNA, 253 nt
Filed under: uncultured bacterium
Lineage: Bacteria
Description: partial 16S ribosomal RNA
Rfam family: Bacterial small subunit ribosomal RNA
Source: RNAcentral